AGAACGAACGCUGGCGGCAUGCCUAAUACAUGCAAGUCGAACGAACACUUCGGUGUUAGUGGCGCACGGGUGCGUAACGCGUGGGAGUCUGCCCUUGGGUUCGGAAUAACAGUUGGAAACGACUGCUAAUACCGGAUGAUAUCGAAAGAUCAAAGAUUUAUCGCCCAGGGAUGAGCCCGCGUAGGAUUAGCUAGUUGGUGAGGUAAAGGCUCACCAAGGCGACGAUCCUUAGCUGGUCUGAGAGGAUGAUCAGCCACACUGGGACUGAGACACGGCCCAGACUCCUACGGGAGGCAGCAGUAGGGAAUAUUGGACAAUGGGCGCAAG
RNAcentral lists this ribosomal RNA (327 nucleotides) under uncultured soil bacterium. RNAcentral's name for it is "bacterial SSU rRNA". It matches the Rfam family "Bacterial small subunit ribosomal RNA", at positions 26 to 381 of the family's 1533-position model. The record is from RNAcentral.